GACGCUGUUCUGCCAUUUCAUGCUUGUAGGCAAUAUCUUGACUGGGGCGGUCUCCUCCUAAAGAGUAACGGAGGAGCACGAAGGUUGGCUAAUCCUGGUCGGACAUCAGGAGGUUAGUGCAAUGGCAUAAGCCAGCUUGACUGCGAGCGUGACGGCGCGAGCAG
RNAcentral lists this ribosomal RNA (164 nucleotides) under Salmonella enterica subsp. enterica serovar Cerro. Its description in RNAcentral is "partial 23S ribosomal RNA". It matches the Rfam family "Bacterial large subunit ribosomal RNA", at positions 2232 to 2396 of the family's 2925-position model. The record is from RNAcentral. Lineage: Bacteria; Pseudomonadati; Pseudomonadota; Gammaproteobacteria; Enterobacterales; Enterobacteriaceae.